Small nucleolar RNA from Elaeis guineensis (African oil palm), 113 nucleotides. RefSeq annotates it as small nucleolar RNA Z278. The record is from RefSeq and is a predicted model, not a curated record. NCBI's taxonomy places the organism in Eukaryota, Viridiplantae, Streptophyta, Magnoliopsida, Arecales, Arecaceae.
GCCUAUGAUGAUGGAUCCAAGUUUAUGGGAUGUAGACAGCUUCAAGUCCCUUUUUUACAAGGAGAACUUACUUGGAGCUGCUACAUACAAAUGACAUCAGACUUUUUUGAGGC